This 181-nucleotide unclassified non-coding RNA is filed under the name fungal sp. RNAcentral describes it as "partial internal transcribed spacer region". The stretch from base 1 to 46 matches the Rfam family "Eukaryotic small subunit ribosomal RNA", at positions 1786 to 1831 of the family's 1831-position model. The record is from RNAcentral. Lineage: Eukaryota; Fungi.
AAGUCGUAACAAGGUUUCCGUAGGUGAACCUGCGGAAGGAUCAUUAAAAAUAUAGCAAACCAAGCGUUAGCGAGGUUUUGCGAUCAAAAUUGUAUUUAAAACCCAACUCUUUGAAUCAAAUAUAUAUUAUGUAUUUUAAAUAAAUAAAAGAUCACUUUCAACAACGGAUCUCUUGGCUCUC